This is a long non-coding RNA of Coturnix japonica (Japanese quail), 2766 nucleotides long. Lineage: Eukaryota; Metazoa; Chordata; Aves; Galliformes; Phasianidae. The record is from Ensembl.
AGCAGCAUCUCAGCUCUGUUCUACCAUGCAGACAUGGGCAGGCAUGGUUCAAUUGGCAGUUUGGCAUCACUGGCUAUAAAGUAUAACACUGGGCUUUGUGUGACAGCUUUAAUCAACUUCUGCCUCAAGGUCACCCUUGGUUUCUGAGUUAUGGGAGCACUGAAACCUGUUAGGAUAUAUUGUGAUGAAGGUAAGUUGCUCCAUGUUCUCAGGUAGUUUGACUGUUCUGUGAUCUGUAACUACAUUGCUCCUAGUACUAAAAAUAUGCUCCGGACAAAUAUGUGUGGAUGGACAGCUCAAAUAAUAGCAAUCCAUCUUAGCAAAUGGCAUUUGUUCUUCUAUUGUUUCUUUCAACUGACUUCUCUCUUCAUAAAAGGAGAGGCUCAAUUACUCCCUUAGGAGAUUCAGAACAACCAUCUUUGUCAGAAAAGUUUAGCUUUCUGGUUCAGCACUUACAUGGUUUUGGAAGUGAGAAGGGGAUUUGCAAAGGUGUUUGGGCAGCUCAAGCCAGGAUGAGGAGGGGGAAUUGGGUGCCCAGCAGGGCUCCUGCCACUAAGCCUAACAGCUGCAGAAUCAAAAACUAUUGCUUUUUCACUUGUGCUCCCAUUUCCAUACUCACAUACAGUAGGGUCAGGAGGAUGGCUUGCAAGGUCAGUAUGUGUGCCUUAGGAAUGAUAUGUGACUUGUGUCAGAAUGGUUGCUGAGUUGCAGUUGUGAUGUAACUGAUUGAAAGAACUGCAUCUAUGUGGACAGCCAACACACUUAGUGAGACAUUCCACGUUGGUCAGGAAACUGUGAAGCUGAUUUCUGCACAGAGGAUGUGUCUGCCUGCUUGCAGGGAAGGUGGGAGGUCAGUCAAGCUGCAAAUUACCCAGGAAACCCCUCAGGUGGACCUUCUGCUAAUUAGCAGACAUGGAUGCCUGCUUUUAAACCAAGAACUAUCAGCUGAAGACCUGGGCUGUGUUGAAGAAGAAAAACCUCAAGAUAAUGUAUCUUGUUUGCUGAAAUGGCAGAUCAGGUUUAGCACACAGGUAGCAGAACACAGGUGUCUGCCUAUGAGAAAUGAAUUAUCAUCCAUACGUAUCCUUGGAAGGCAUCAAUUUCAGUGGCAGGCACUUAACAUGGAAAUUAUUGCUCUUUCAUUGAAGAAGUAGAAAUGUUUGUUUCACAAGUUGCUUAAAUUCUCUCCUGUAACUCUAUAUUGUAACUGUGAUAUCUGAAGUUAAAUAUGUCUGAGAAUCUCAAAAUUUCAGCCAGCAGCUGAAAAAACAAGAGACUUUGCCUGCGUAAGAUCAAACUCCCUGUUCUAAAAUCACGAAAAUGGAACUCUUGGAAUGUUAAUAUUAAGUCUGUAUAGUGGAAAUCCUGAAAUGGGUUUAGUCUGAACAUAUUACUUGGAAACUCCUCAAAACUGGAAAGCACGUCUGUGUAUUGGGCCUCACUUGUUUAUGCUCUCCUUCAUAUGUGUUAGUUACAGUGCCACUAAGUUUGCAGUAUGAGGUAGUAUGCAAAAUGAUGUAGCAGAUAUAAGUCCAGUUAGGUUAAGGUUUACAUUAGGGUGCAUGUUGCAGGAACCAUAUCUGGAGCUCAAAGGAGGAGCUUUCCAGGAUGCUUUGUCUUGUUGAAAACAAAGCCUGGUUGCUACUGGUUUAACCUUACCUACCCCAUUCCUUGCUCCCUCUACCCCACUCUCCCCCAUAUCAUUCUGUGACAUGUGAAAUGAAGCAGAAGGCAGUAGAAGUGUAAAUAUUGAUAUAUAUUGGAAUUCUUUUUCACAUCUGUGUUAUUGGUUGGUUUGUUUGUGUCUGCCACCCGUGGUUUAUUCCAUGUUUGUUCCAUGACACUGUUAUAAGCUCUUAACUGUUCAUUUUAUGUAAAUACAACUCUCUGGAACUGCUCUGGGUCAGGCAGUGUGAGAUAGUGAGAGCUGAUGUUAGGCAAGUAAUAUAAGCAGUUGACCAACUGUGGCUGCAGAUGUUACUCAGAUACUAAAGCGUGAGUGGCUUUGAAAGGUGUAUCUUGGUUCAGUUCUAUUUACCACGUCUUCCUUCAGCCUGGCCAUCUUCAGAACCGUUUCAGAUAGUUGGCUGUUGUUGAUAUUACCGGUGUGCAGUGUGAGUGUGUCCUAAAAGUGUGUCUGGGAAGCAGACACAAUGUAGAUGUGAUUGCAGUUGAUCUUGAGAUUCCUUCUUUUCACCUUUGUUAUGCACUGAUACACACUGGGAAUGUUGUACUGGUCUAAACCUACAUAUAGAAAGAAAGUGUGCAAGCCUUCAUCCAUUUUAGGUUCCCUGAACUUUCUAAUCCUCUGGCAUAGGGAUCUAUUUCAUUCUCCUAGCUUUGUUAGCUUUUUAAUGAGUAAAUCUGAUAAUCAGCAGAAGAUUUUCAGCCUGUGGACAUAACAAAUUUGUAGAUCUAAAAAAAAUUCUCAUUGGAAAUGCUGCUAGCUCUGUUUCUUUGCACUGGUGGUUGCUAUUAUGUAUGGUUUUUGCUUGGUUUUGUACUUGACAAGCUCUGCCAGAACAAAAUAAUAUAUUUCUACAGUUUGCAUGUGUAAUAGUUUCUUCUUAGGAUCAGUCAAAUAUAUUGGUGGGAUUUAAAGAUGUGCUGAAUGUAAUCUUCCAGGAGUUGAGAAAGUAUUCAUUAGAAUGCAUUGUCUCCUGCUGAGUUUGACCUUCACUACCCUGCUGGAGUGCACUGCAAUUUUUCAGCUGCCUUCAUUUUACUUUUCCUCCUUGGGUGAUAAUAAAAGUAAAGCAGUUUGCA